CUACGGGUCGCAGCAGUAAAGAAUCUUCCGCAAUGGGCGAAAGCCUGACGGAGCAACACUGCGUGGUGGAUGAAGGCCUUCGGGUCGUAAACACCUUUUCUGGGGGAAGAAGUUCUGACGGUACCCCAGGAAUAAGCACCGGCUAAUUACGUGCCAGCAGCCGCGGUAAUACGUAAGGUGCAAGCGUUAUCCGGAAUCAUUGGGCGUAAAGCGUCCGUAGGCGGUUUUGUAAGUCUGAGGUUAAAUCCCUCCGCUCAACGGAGGAAUCGUCUCGGAAACUGCAUCACUUGAGUCGUGCAGGGGCAGAUGGAAUUCCAGAAGUAGGGGUAAAAUCCGUAGAUCUCUGGAGGUACACCAAACGCGAAGGCAUUCUGCUGGGCACGUACUGACGCUGAGGGACGAAAGCGUGGGGAGCAAACGGGAUUAGAUACCCGAGUAGUC
Molecule: ribosomal RNA, 441 nt
Filed under: uncultured bacterium
Lineage: Bacteria
Description: partial 16S ribosomal RNA
Rfam family: Bacterial small subunit ribosomal RNA
Source: RNAcentral